Molecule: long non-coding RNA, 878 nt
Filed under: Coturnix japonica (Japanese quail)
Lineage: Eukaryota; Metazoa; Chordata; Aves; Galliformes; Phasianidae
Description: lncRNA (ENSCJPG00005003807.1)
Source: RNAcentral
AGCAUUCACAAAUGUAUGAUUUAUAUUGGCUGUGAGGAAGCUGCAGAGAGGUAUGGAUAAUCAGCAUCUCAUACAAGUAUUUAAUGUUUUAAGUGCAUUUUGCUAUUGCUUUCCUCCUGGUUAUUUGUGACUUGUCUAAAUCUCAAUUUAAUGGGAAAAAAAACCAAACCAUAAGGGCAACAGAAACUUCAUUUAUCCACCUGUUUUUCCCCAAACUGUCAUUGGCUCAGAGUGCAGGAUGAACACCUUAAUGCUGUAGAGACAGUCUGGAAGUCCCAUCGUAUUGCAGAGUAUGUACUAGAGAGAGAUUUUAGCUUUGCAGUAUAGCCCUUGUGCCACUUACUUUUCCAAUGAAUCAUGUGAUAUUCUAAUUGUUUCCUUUUUUUUUUUUUUUUAAUCAUUUGUUCUAAUUUUAUUUUAUUUUAUUUUAUUUUAUUUUAGUUACCAGAAAUUGAAGGCAAAAUUCAAAGAAGCAUAAUAGAGAAUUGCAGGAGAGGAUUAAGUAAACAACUCUAAGGUGAUCUCAAAGGAAAAUACUCAAGGGGAAUUUGGGGACCAGAGAUUUAAUGGUUGCAGUUUUAUAAUCUUUAUCAGAGCACUGAGUCUGUAAUAGGAAGAUGGGAGUAAUUGCCUCCAAGAUUUCUGUCACCUCAAUCAACCUUCGAGGGAAAAUCAUCGCAAGAGAGCCUCUGUCACCAGGCAAGUUUCCUUUAAGACAAGCAUCUCAGUGGUGCAGAAACCCAGUGCUACUUCUCCAGCGGGCAUCAGCCUACAGCUGUCUCAAGAGAGACCAUCUCUAGACAGAGAGUGCCCGUCAGCCUCUAGCGAUGCCUACAUGCUGCAGUCUCACAGGGUAGGUUCAGGUUAGCCAUGUUUUU